GUAAAAGUAGUUUAAUAUAAAACACUGACUUGUGGCGCCAGUAAUACUAUAAAGUCUUUUAUC
This 63-nucleotide transfer RNA is filed under the name Namalycastis abiuma. RNAcentral describes it as "tRNA-His". The record is from RNAcentral. Lineage: Eukaryota; Metazoa; Annelida; Polychaeta; Phyllodocida; Nereididae.